UUGCCCCAGUAACGGCGUAGUGAAGCGGCAACAGCUCAAAUUUGAAAUCUGGGGUCCUUUGGGCCUCCGUGUUGUAGUUUGCAGUGGGUGCCUCGGUGGGCGUGCCGGCCCAAGUGCCUUGGAACAGGAUACCGCAGUGGGUGUGUGUCCCGUAUCCGGCCGGUGGCGCGCUCCGUGUGAGGCCUCUUCGACGUGUCGAGUUGUUUGGGAAUGCAGCUCCAAGCGGGUGGUAAAUUCCAUCUAAAGCUAAAUACUGGCCAGAGACCGAUAGCGAACAAGUAGAGUGAUCGAAAGAUGAAAAGCACUUUGAAAAGAGAGUCAAACAGUACGUGAAAUUGUUGAAAGGGAAGCGCAUGGGGGCAGACUUGGCCGCGGGGUUCAGGGUGCGUUCUCGCGCCUGCACUUCCCCGCGGACAGGCCAGCAUCGGUUCUGGGGGCCGGACAAAGGGGCCGGGAAGGUAGCCGCCUUCGGGCGGUGUUAUAGCCCGGCGCGCAAUGCGGCCACCUGGGACCGAGGACCGCGCUUCGGCAAGGAUGCUGGCGUAAUGGCCUCAUGCGGCCCGUCUUGAAACACGGACCAAGGAGUCUAACAUCUAUGCGAGUGUUUGGGUGGCAAGCCCGGGCGCGCAAUGAAAGUGAACGGAGGUGGGAGCUGUCGUAGGCGCACCAUCGACCGAUCCGGACGUUUUCCGAAGGAUUUGAGUAGGAGCAUAGCUGUUGGGACCCGAAAGAUGGUGAACUAUGCGUGAAUAGGGUGAAGCCAGAGGAAACUCUGGUGGAGGCUCGCAGCGGUUCUGACGUGCAAAUCGAUCGUCAAAUUUGCGUAUAGGGGGCGAAAGACUAAUCGAAACCAUCUAGUAGCUGGGUUCCUGCGA
This 875-nucleotide ribosomal RNA is filed under the name Scolecobasidium tshawytschae. RNAcentral's name for it is "LSU rRNA". It matches the Rfam family "Eukaryotic large subunit ribosomal RNA", at positions 75 to 964 of the family's 3401-position model. The record is from RNAcentral. Lineage: Eukaryota; Fungi; Ascomycota; Dothideomycetes; Venturiales; Sympoventuriaceae.